UACCUUCAGACUCUGUCUCAUUUCUUUCUA
This 30-nucleotide non-coding RNA is filed under the name Mus musculus (house mouse). Lineage: Eukaryota; Metazoa; Chordata; Mammalia; Rodentia; Muridae. The record is from RNAcentral.